This 2560-nucleotide ribosomal RNA is filed under the name Fusarium oxysporum f. sp. luffae. RNAcentral describes it as "bacterial LSU rRNA". The stretch from base 1 to 2130 matches the Rfam family "Bacterial large subunit ribosomal RNA". Lineage: Eukaryota; Fungi; Ascomycota; Sordariomycetes; Hypocreales; Nectriaceae. The record is from RNAcentral.
CCAAUGCUUCUAAUUUCAUAGCAAGCUCGCUUGCUAUGAAAUAGGCAACCAGUAAUAUAAGCAAGUGUGUGCUAUUUAUAGCGCUAGCCUACAAACCUAUAAUUAUAUUAACUCUAAGAGAAAUUUAAUAAUAAACGAAGUGAAUUGAAAUAUCUUAGUAACUUUAGGAAAAGAAAUCAAAAGAGAUUCUAUGAUUAGCGUGAGCUAAAAUAGACUAGCCUAAAAAGUCAAAUGGUGGAUAAACUGUUUAAAUUAAAUGGGGAACCUUCCUCAAAGGCUAAAUAUAAUGUAUAAGCGAUAGUGGAAAGUACCGUGAGGGAACCAAAACAAAAACAGUGAUUUUAUAAGCAGUUCGGGAAAAUAAAAAAAAGUUAGAACGUACCUUUUGCAUAAUGGGUCACCAAGUUAACAUUAGAUGCGAGUAGGAGGCUUUGCCCAUACAUACGUAGUUAAACCGAGCGUUAAAAUAACGGUAAGUAUCUAAAGUUAGACCCGAAGCCUGGUGAUUUUACCAUAAUCAGGAUUAUAAAAGUCCGAACGGAAUAUUGUAGCAUAAAUAUCCGAAGAAUUAUGGUAGGUGUAGUGAAAGACAAUACUGACCAGGAUAGCUGGUUUUCUGCGAAACCUAUAACAGUAGGCAAUUUAAGUAUAAUAUCUUAGCAGGUACAGAAUUUAAUCUCAGACAAGACAUAAGGCUUAGCUUGCUAGCAAGUAAAGCUCAUGUUUUAUUUUGUACAAAUUGGGGGAUCAUGAAGAUUUUAUCAGUGAGUAUGUAGACUCGGAAUGGCAAAGAUAUAUCUUAAAUCAUCAGACAUAGAAUGAUAAGGUUGUAUGUCAAAAGGGAAACAGCCCAGAACAAGAGUUAAGGUUCCUAAAUUAUUAGUUGAGUGAAAUUAAGAAGGUUUUUAUUAAAGUCGACAAGGAGAUAGGCUUAGAAGCAGCCAUAAUUUUAUGACCUCGUAACAGAGCGCUUGUUAAGUUUUAAAAGCAUCGAAAAUUUAUCGGAUCUAAACAAUAUACCGAAACCUUGUCCAUAUUAUUUUAUAAUUAAAGCUUAAUUAUAAUUAAAUGGGGUAGCAGAACGUUGAGCUAAAUUAAGAUUUUUAUUUUUUAAAUGAAAUUAUAAUAAUUUAACUCAAGUGAUAAUGGUGACAUGAGUAACUAAAAGAAAAAAUAAAAUUUUUCCGCCUAAAGCUUAUGGAUGUAAUUAAGUAACGGCCUCUAAGUUUAUAUUAUCUAAAGAUUUAAACGAUGAGAUAAUCUUUUGUACUAAGGACGACAUUUUAAGUGAAAAAUGUACUGGAAAAAUAGUACUAAAUUAAUGGGUAUAGCUAAUUAGUUAGCUAUAGCUAUAAAUGAAAAGUAACCGUACCUAGAAUCUGAAACAAGUAAGCUAGUAGAGAAUACGAAGGCGUAAAUGAGCUAACAAUCAUAAAGGAACUCGGCAAAUUGACUACCGUAACUUCGGGAUAAGGAGAGCUCAUUAUUCUUGAUUAAUAUCAGGUAAAGAGGAAGAAGCAUGAAAUAGUGUUGUACGACUGUUUAAUUAAAACACAGCACUUUGCUGAAAGAUUAAAAAUCUAAGUAUAGAGUGUGAUGUCUGCCCGGUGCCGGCUGGUUAACAGAUAUAAUUAAAUAUACUAAUAUUUGAUGUAGACGGAAACCCCGGUUAAAGGCGGCCUUAACGUGAGGGUCCUAAGGUAGCGAAAUGCCUUGGCCGUUAAAUGCGGUCUUGCAUGAAUGAUGUAACGAUACAACAGCUGUCUCUAUGAUUGACUCAGUGAAAUUGGAAUAGCUGUGCAGAUACAGUUUACCUCUAGUUAGACGAGAAGACCCUAUGCAGCUUUACUGUCACUAAUUAUAGAGUAUGAUAAACAAUUUUCAGAUUAUAAGGUAAUUGACGGCUAGCUUGUUCAGCAAGCUAGCUCUAUGACAAUGAGAAUCCUUUAUUUUUUUUUCAUAUGAAUGAAUUGGUUUAGGAUUAUGAGUAGGUAGCGGCUUCUGCUACUUGGCGUAAGCAUUGCUUGCGUCAGGUGUCUGAAGUAUGCAUUCCAGCUCAUGCAUAGUAAAUCAACCUAAUUCAGCUUAUUUUCCUUUCUGCCAUAAGCGCAUAAUGAUAGAUUUAACUUAAAUUUUGAUUUAUGCCAGCUGCAGAAAUAGAUAAGUACCCUUGGCUAAGGAACUAUCGCUAGGGGACAGUUUAUGUGGGGCACAGACCCUGUAAAGAGUAAACAGGAGUGUCUAAUAAUUUAUAAUUAUUUUGUUUGCGAUUUAAGAUAGUGAAACUAUUUUUAAUCAUAUAAAAUUAUUUAUAUGUACAUUCGUUGUAUAUAUAUUUAAAAAAAGGUAGGAUUUUCACUAUAUAGAAAUUAGAGAUAAUAAAAAUAUUAAGAAUAUACGUUUCAGGCUGGGAGGGGCAAGCUCCUCCCUUUGAAAGGUAGCACUAAUAUUUUUUAGCUAUUAAGACAGGCUAUCAAGCUAGGCUCUAAUAGUUAUGUAUUAAUUAUCUAAAAAGCUCAACGGCUAAAUCUUGCCUUACUGUUUGAUUAUCAACAAAUCU